GCAUCGAUGAAGAACGCAGCAAAAUGCGAUAAGUAAUGUGAAUUGCAGAAUUCAGUGAAUCAUCGAAUCUUUGAACGCACAUUGCGCCCGCCAGUAUUCUGGCGGGCAUGCCUGUUCGAGCGUCAUUUCAACCCUCAAGCCCAGCUUGGCGUUGGGAGCUGCAGUCCUGCUGCACUCCCCAAAUACAUUGGCGGUCACGUCGAGCUUCCAUAGCGUAGUAGUUUACAUAUCGUUACUGGUAAUCGUCGCGGGCACGCCCGUUAAACCCCAACUUCUGAAUUGUUGACCUCGGAUCAGGUAGGAAUACCCGCUGAACUUUAAGCAUAUCAAUAAGCGGAGGA
Molecule: ribosomal RNA, 341 nt
Filed under: Fusarium avenaceum
Lineage: Eukaryota; Fungi; Ascomycota; Sordariomycetes; Hypocreales; Nectriaceae
Description: eukaryotic LSU rRNA
Rfam family: 5.8S ribosomal RNA (bases 1-125)
Source: RNAcentral